RNAcentral lists this ribosomal RNA (427 nucleotides) under uncultured bacterium. RNAcentral's name for it is "partial 16S ribosomal RNA". It matches the Rfam family "Bacterial small subunit ribosomal RNA", at positions 355 to 774 of the family's 1533-position model. The record is from RNAcentral.
UGGGGAAUAUUGGACAAUGGGCGAAAGCCUGAUCCAGCCAUGCCGCGUGUGUGAAGAAGGUCUUCGGAUUGUAAAGCACUUUAAGUUGGGAGGAAGGGCAUUAACCUAAUACGUUAGUGUUUUGACGUUACUGACAGAAUAAGCACCGGCUAACUCUGUGCCAGCAGCCGCGGUAAUACAGAGGGUGCAAGCGUUAAUCGGAAUUACUGGGCGUAAAGCGCGCGUAGGUGGUUUGUUAAGUUGGAUGUGAAAGCCCCGGGCUCAACCUGGGAACUGCAUCCAAAACUGGCAAGCUAGAGUACGGUAGAGGGUGGUGGAAUUUCCUGUGUAGCGGUGAAAUGCGUAGAUAUAGGAAGGAACACCAGUGGCGAAGGCGACCACCUGGACUGAUACUGACACUGAGGUGCGAAAGCGUGGGGAGCAAACA